Molecule: long non-coding RNA, 1183 nt
Filed under: Equus asinus (donkey)
Lineage: Eukaryota; Metazoa; Chordata; Mammalia; Perissodactyla; Equidae
Description: lncRNA (ENSEASG00005035383.1)
Source: RNAcentral
GUUUGAUGUUUGUGUCUUUGGGGCUUUGGAGCUGGAGAUUAAAAGGAAAUGGAUAUGGUAACAUUCUGACUCUCAAGGAUCUCAAAGUCCACAGGCCAACCCUGUGGCGCAGUGGUUAAGUGCGCACGUUCCACUUUGGCAGCCUGGGGUUCGCCAGUUUGGAUCCUGGGUGCGGACAUGACACCGCUUGGCAAGCCAUGCUGUGGUAGGCGUCCCACAUAUAAAGUAGAGGAAGAUGGGCACGGAUGUUAGCUCAGGGCCAGUCUUCCUCAGCAAAAAGAGGAUUGGAAGCAGUGAGCUCAGGGCUUAUCUUCCUCAAAAAAAAAAUAGAAAAGGAUCUCAAAGUCCAAUAGAAGAAUUUGUGCCUAUUGAAGCACUCUCAUUUUAGUGGCACAGAAGAUAAGGGAAGAAAGGGAAAGAAAGGUUAGCAAGAUUGGAAGAAACCAUCUAUCCACGGAGUGGGGGAUGGAGAGUAAACUGAAGACAUCUAGAAGUAACUUCAUUUCAUCAUUUUGGGGAGAAGAGUGGGAGGCAUUAAGAUCUGACCUUGUAUUUUGUCCCUUCUGAGCCUCACUAGAGACUAGUGAGAUAUUCAAAGCAAGCAACAGCCUUAUUUUACAGAUGAGGAAACAAAGACAGAGAUGAGGUAAUGCAUGCACGAGGUACAACACUCAAGGAGACUAAAAGGGAAUACCUACAGUGAAAAAUGAGUUUCCUUUCCUGUUAAACACUCAGUUCCCUUCCCUGAAGGCAAUCGUUAGCUAUCAGUUUCGUGUGCAUAAUACCAGAGAGAGAUUUUCAGUGCAUGUAGGUGUGUGUGUGCAUGUGUGUGUCCUUUAAAAAUACACAUAAGUGGUUUUCUUCACAUACUAAUUUUGGAAGUCAUUCCAUGUCAGUACAGACUGAACUACCCAGGUUUUUUUUUUUUGGUGGGAAGAUUGGCCCUGAGCUAACAUCUGUGCCAAUCUUCCUCUUUUUUUGCUUGAGGAAAAUUGUCCCAGAGCUAACAUCUGUGCCAGUCUUCUUCUUUUUUGUAUGUAGGAUGCCACCACAGCAUGGCUUGAUGAGUGGUGUGUAGGUCUGUGCCUGGGGUCCGAGACUGCAAACCCCAGGCUGCCAAAGUGGAGCAUGCGAACUUAACCACUACACCACAAGGCCGGCCCCCCAGUUCCUUUUAAACCAC